GAACGCUAUCGGUAUGCUUAACACAUGCAAGUCGAACGGACUAAUUGGGGCUUGCUCCAAUUAGUUAGUGGCAGACGGGUGAGUAACACGUGGGAAUCUACCCAUCAGUACGGAAUAACUUUUAGAAAUAAAAGCUAAUACCGUAUAUUCUCUACGGAGGAAAGAUUUAUCGCUGAUGGAUGAGCCCGCGUCAGAUUAGGUAGUUGGUGAAGUAAUGGCUCACCAAGCCGACGAUCUGUAGCUGGUCUGAGAGGAUGAUCAGCCACACUGGGACUGAGACACGGCCCAGACUCCUACGGGAGGCAGCAGUGGGGAAUAUUGGACAAUGGGCGAAAGCCUGAUCCAGCAAUACCGAGUGAGUGAUGAAGGCCUUAGGGUUGUAAAGCUCUUUUAGCAAGGAA
Molecule: ribosomal RNA, 401 nt
Filed under: Rickettsia massiliae
Lineage: Bacteria; Pseudomonadati; Pseudomonadota; Alphaproteobacteria; Rickettsiales; Rickettsiaceae
Description: bacterial SSU rRNA
Rfam family: Bacterial small subunit ribosomal RNA
Source: RNAcentral